RNAcentral lists this ribosomal RNA (497 nucleotides) under uncultured bacterium. RNAcentral's name for it is "partial 16S ribosomal RNA". It matches the Rfam family "Bacterial small subunit ribosomal RNA", at positions 28 to 507 of the family's 1533-position model. The record is from RNAcentral.
GACGAACGCUGGCGGCGUGCCUAAUACAUGCAAGUUGAGCGAUGAAGCUUGGUGCUUGCACCAAUUUGAAGAGCAGCGAACGGGUGAGUAACGCGUGGGGAAUCUGCCUUUGAGCGGGGGACAACAUUUGGAAACGAAUGCUAAUACCGCAUAACAACUUUAAACAUAAGUUUUAAGUUUGAAAGAUGCAAUUGCAUCACUCAAAGAUGAUCCCGCGUUGUAUUAGCUAGUUGGUGAGGUAAAGGCUCACCAAGGCGAUGAUACAUAGCCGACCUGAGAGGGUGAUCGGCCACAUUGGGACUGAGACACGGCCCAAACUCCUACGGGAGGCAGCAGUAGGGAAUCUUCGGCAAUGGACGAAAGUCUGGCCGAGCAACGCCGCGUGAGUGAAGAAUGGUUUCGGAUCGUAAAACUCUGUUGGUAGAGAAGAACGUUGGUGAGAGUGGAAAGCUCAUCAAGUGACGGUAACUACCCAGAAAGGGACGGCUAACUACGUG